GACGAACGCUGGCGGCGUGCUUAACACAUGCAAGUCGAACGGAAAGGCCCUGCUUUUGUGGGGUGCUCGAGUGGCGAACGGGUGAGUAACACGUGAGUAACCUGCCCUUGACUUUGGGAUAACUUCAGGAAACUGGUGCUAAUACCUGAUAGGAGCUCCUGCUGCAUGGUGGGGGUUGGAAAGCUUCGGCGGGUGGGGAUGGACUCGCGGCUUAUCAGCUUGUUGGUGGGGUAGUGGCUUACCAAGGCUUUGACGGGUAGCCGGCCUGGGAGGGUGGCCGGCCACAUGGGGACUGAGAUACGGACCAGACUCCUACGGGAGGCAGCAGUGGGGAAUAUUGCACAAUGGGCGGAAGCCUGAUGCAGCGACGCCGCGUGCGGGAUGACUGCCUUCGGGUUGUAAACCGCUUUCGCCUGUGACGAAGCGUGAGUGACGGUAAUGGGUAAAGAAGCACCGGCUAACUACGUG
RNAcentral lists this ribosomal RNA (468 nucleotides) under uncultured bacterium. RNAcentral describes it as "partial 16S ribosomal RNA". It matches the Rfam family "Bacterial small subunit ribosomal RNA", at positions 28 to 507 of the family's 1533-position model. The record is from RNAcentral.